RNAcentral lists this long non-coding RNA (2848 nucleotides) under Canis lupus familiaris (dog). RNAcentral's name for it is "lncRNA (ENSCAFG00845028847.1)". The record is from RNAcentral. Lineage: Eukaryota; Metazoa; Chordata; Mammalia; Carnivora; Canidae.
GAGUUUAUUUUGUCCAUGAUGUUAAAGGUGGUUAAAAGGUAUAAAAGUUUCAUUCUUUUACAUGUAGCUGACCAGUUUUUCCAGCACCAUUUAUUGAAGAGAUUGUCUUUUCCCCAUUAUAUAUUCUUGCCACCUUUGUCAUAGAUUAAUUGACCAUAAAAUAAUGGGUUUAACAGGAAACAACAGGUGUUGGUGAGGAUGUAGAGAAAGGGGAAACCUCUUAUAGUGUUGGUGGGAAUGCAAACUUGUGCAGCCAUUCCGGAAAACAGUAUGGAAUUUCCUAAAAAGUAAAAAAUAGGACAAUCCUACAGUCCAGCAAUUGUGCUACUAGAUAUUCACCCAAAGGACACAAAAAUACUGUUUUGAAAGGAUACAAAAAUACCCUAAUGUUUAUAGCAGCCAUUAUCAACAGAAACCAAAUAAUGGAAAGAGCCCAAUGUCCAUCAACUGAUGAAUGGAUAAAGAAGAUGUAUGUAUGUGUGUGCAUGUGUGUAUGUGUAUAUACCAUAUCUUCUUAUAUAUACUACAUAUACAUCACACACACACACACAAACACAUGCACACAAUGUAAUAUUACUCAGCCAUCAAAAGAAUGAAAUCUUGUCAUUUGCAACGAUGUGGAUGGAGAUAGAAUUUAUUAUGCCAAAUGAAAUAAGUCAGUUAGAGAAAGACAAUACCAUAUGGUUUCACUCAUAUAUGGAAUUUAAGAAACAAAACGAAUGCACAUGGAGGUGAGUGUAAAGAGAGGAAAACCAAGAAACAGACUCUUAACUAUAGAGAAUAUGGUUACUGGAGGGCAGGUGGGAAGGAGGAUGGGCUAAAUGGGUGAAGGGUAUUAAGAAGGGCACUUGUGAUGAGCAUCUAGUGUUGUAUGUAAAUGAUGAAUCACUUAAAUUCUACACCUGAACUAAUAUUAUACUGUAUGUUAACUAACUGGAAUUUAAAUAAAAACCUAAAAUAGAAAAAAGAAUAAAUAAACAUAGGACUAAAAAAAUCAUGAAUUUAUUUCUGGGCUCUCUGUCCAAUGAUCUAUGCAUCUAUUUUUGUGUCAGUACCAUACUGUUUUGAUUACUAGUAUAGCUAGUAUAGCUUUGUAGUAUAUCUUGAAAUCUGGAAUUGUGAUACCUCUAGCUUAAAACACAGGUAAUUUUUAAUUGAGAAGUCUGGCUUAAAGUCAACUUACUAAAGAAAAAAAUUCACAGAAAAAAUAAAAACAGACAACAUAACAAGUAUACACAUACAAACUUUCAAUAAGAGAAACAGAUAGAAACAAAAUAACAUUUUACACUGAUCAUGUGUAAAAUGUGAUUUAAAAUAUUGAAAAUAUUUGCUGUUGAUUAGACUAUGGGGAAACAAUCUUUCUCAUCUAUGUUAGUAGAGUGCAAAUUUAUAUAAAAAGUCUCAAAAUUACACCUCCAGGUUUUUAUCUACAGAAAUGUUUGCAUAAUUACAUCAGAAUAUAGGUACAAAGAUAUUCAACUUAGCAUUACCUAUAAUAUUGACAAAUUAGAAGUAGUCUAUAUAUUAGUCAUAUCUUAACAAGUUUGGAACAUGAAAAAUGAAAAAUUAUAAGGUUCAGAUUUCUGAGAAUGGAGGGAUGAAAUCAGAUUCUUCCCUAAUCCUAAUGAAAUGUGCAUAGAUAGGUAAAACAUUAAAAAAAAAAAAAAAAGAAACCACUUAUUAACAUUCAAAGCCAGUUUUAUCCUGUAUUUUUAAAAAUUAUUUAAGAACUUUAUUUGUUGUGCCCAAGAUUGCGAAUCCGAGAAACCACCAAGGAGCCAACACCGAUGCAAACACACGAGAGUUUAUUUACAAGCUCCAGCUUGGGUCCAAGUAUACCUGACACAGGGGAGCAGGGACUUGGACCCCGAGGUGGGUUUCAGCUUAGUUUUAAGGACUGGUCUAGGGGACCUCCAGAAGGGGUGGAGCAAUUCCUCAAGUUCUGUUUACAUUUUGAUAUGGGGCCUUCAAGGGCAUUGAGCUCUGUUCUUAUUCUAAUAGGGGCUUCCUGCCACUGGCUUGGGCUCUGUUCUCAUUCUAAUAGGGGCUUCCUGCCCUUGGCUUGGGCUCUGUUUUUAUUCUAAUAUGGGGCUUUCUAGAACAUUAAGCUGUAAGCUGUUUUCUUCCUGUAACUGAAGUAAGGUAAAGUUCAGCUAUUAUUCACAGGGGCCUGGGAUGGCUGUACUUGUGAUAACGCUUAACUUAAAGUGGAAUGGCCUUAAUUUUCUUGGCCUUCACAAUUAACGAGUGCUUGCCAUUUGUUGAUUUUUUUUUUUUUUUUUUUUUUUGAAAAACUCAAGUUGUAAACUUUUAUUUCAAAUUAAAAAUGAGGUUCUUAAAAAUCUCAACUGGACCGGAUAUGAAACAAUUUAAAAACCUUUAAAGGUAUAUUGAGACUUUGGGGAGGGGCUGUGUGUGUUUGACAAGGAGAACUAUGGGACAGUCAUGGGUGCUGAGCUCUGCCAUGUCCUUGCCACCCUGGGAGAGAAGAUGACCGAGGUUGAAGUGGAGCUGAUAUUGGCCGCAAGAGGAUGCCAAUGGCUGUAUCAAUUACAAAGACUGUCAAACACAUCAUGCCUGGGUGAAGCGGACUCCUUCAGGGUACCUGGCCCUUGGCCUCAGCCUUUCUGGGGCAAGUGAAGCAAGAAGCCCAGAGUAACUGAGCUGGAGCUAAGGUCCUGGACCCACCUUUGGCAUGCAGCCCUGAAGGCAUCCCAGGCUCAUAGCCCUCCCUGUAAAUAAACAGUCCUGGCAAGGUCCUGGGCCAAAUUCUCUGAGAAAAAAAAAAAAACAAAACAAAAACAAACAAACAAACAAAAAACAGAAAAACCAGGCUUAAAAAAAAAAA